Molecule: ribosomal RNA, 305 nt
Filed under: uncultured bacterium
Lineage: Bacteria
Description: bacterial SSU rRNA
Rfam family: Bacterial small subunit ribosomal RNA
Source: RNAcentral
GACCGCCUACGGGAGGCAGCAGUGAGGAAUAUUGGUCAAUGGGCGGGAGCCUGAACCAGCCACGCCGCGUGAAGGAAGAAGGCGCCAGGCGUCGUAAACUUCUUUUGUCGGGGAACAAAGGGCGCCACGCGUGGCGUUGCGAGUGUACCCGAAGAAAAAGCAUCGGCUAACUCCGUGCCAGCAGCCGCGGUAAUACGGAGGAUGCGAGCGUUAUCCGGAUUUAUUGGGUUUAAAGGGUGCGUAGGCGGUCCGGAAAGUCAGCGGUAAAAGCCCGGGGCUCAACCCCGGCGAGCCGUUGGAACUGG